This 479-nucleotide ribosomal RNA is filed under the name Streptococcus parasanguinis. RNAcentral describes it as "bacterial SSU rRNA". It matches the Rfam family "Bacterial small subunit ribosomal RNA", at positions 28 to 489 of the family's 1533-position model. Lineage: Bacteria; Bacillati; Bacillota; Bacilli; Lactobacillales; Streptococcaceae. The record is from RNAcentral.
GAUGAACGCUGGCGGCGUGCCUAAUACAUGCAAGUAGAACGCUGAAGCUUGGUGCUUGCACCGAGCGGAUGAGUUGCGAACGGGUGAGUAACGCGUAGGUAACCUGCCUCUUAGCGGGGGAUAACUAUUGGAAACGAUAGCUAAUACCGCAUAAAAGUCGAUAUCGCAUGAUAUUGAUUUGAAAGGUGCAAUUGCAUCACUAAGAGAUGGACCUGCGUUGUAUUAGCUAGUUGGUGAGGUAACGGCUCACCAAGGCGACGAUACAUAGCCGACCUGAGAGGGUGAUCGGCCACACUGGGACUGAGACACGGCCCAGACUCCUACGGGAGGCAGCAGUAGGGAAUCUUCGGCAAUGGGGGCAACCCUGACCGAGCAACGCCGCGUGAGUGAAGAAGGUUUUCGGAUCGUAAAGCUCUGUUGUAAGAGAAGAACGAGUGUGAGAGUGGAAAGUUCACACUGUGACGGUAACUUACCAGAAA